GGUGGCCUCUGUGGAAGAAGGUCAGAGAUUGUCCUUUUUUAGACACAGUCACUUCCAGAUAGCUCUCCGCCCAUCACAAGCCAAAGAUGAUCUCAUCACUGAAUUUGAUGUUGCCUCCACAAAAAUCUUUUUAUGAAAGAAUGGAAACACUUGAAAGAGGAGGAGAGAACCCAGGGAAUGAGGGAACAGAGAUAAGUGGAGGGAAUGGGAAGGAAACAGCAAGAGAACACCGAGGUCAGCGAGGCAGGAGCUGUUCCACGGCAGAGCACAAUUCCCAAAGGCACAGAGCCCGUGGAAGGCCCAUGCCAAAGCAGAGGAAAAAAAGCAAAGAAGGAGCACCAAAAGGAGCACCAAAAGGAACCCUGACUUGCAAACACUGCCACCCCUCAACUGGAUCCCUUUCCUCAUUGAAAGUACAACCUGGGGCCAAAACAAGCUGGGAGCCAUGCUGAAAGUGAGAAGAGUGAGAAGGAGCUGUGUGCUUUCCUACCAGCCAGGACCCAUCUACCACAGACCUUUUUGAGCACAGCAACAAGACCAUUGCCAAGGUUGUAAGAACAUACCAGCAUAUUCUCAUAACUCUGAAGGGCCUGAACAUCUGCCCUGAGAUUUCUGUGGAAAUUGAGCUCAUGUAGUACCCCUCAAGAGCUCAGCAGUCUGUUACAUAAGGUCUUGACACAGCUGAAAAUCCUGAUUUCCAAAAUAUUCCAUGUGGCUUUGAGUGCCAUUGAAGUCCAGAAGAAUAUGAAACAUCAAGUACAACACAGCUGCACUCUAAAAAAUGUGCGCACUAGUGGAUGA
This is a long non-coding RNA of Passer domesticus (house sparrow), 801 nucleotides long. RefSeq lists it as uncharacterized. The transcript has 3 exons. NCBI's taxonomy places the organism in Eukaryota, Metazoa, Chordata, Aves, Passeriformes, Passeridae. The record is from RefSeq and is a predicted model, not a curated record.